Molecule: ribosomal RNA, 465 nt
Filed under: uncultured bacterium
Lineage: Bacteria
Description: partial 16S ribosomal RNA
Rfam family: Bacterial small subunit ribosomal RNA
Source: RNAcentral
GACGAACGCUGGCGGCGUGCUUAACACAUGCAAGUCGAACGGAAAGGCCCUGCUUGCAGGGUACUCGAGUGGCGAACGGGUGAGUAACACGUGGGUGAUCUGCCCUGCACUUCGGGAUAAGCCUGGGAAACUGGGUCUAAUACCGGAUAGGAGCCAUUUUUAGUGUGAUGGUUGGAAAGUUUUUUCGGUGUAGGAUGAGCGCGCGGCCUAUCAGCUUGUUGGUGGGGUAAUGGCCUACCAAGGCGGCGACGGGUAGCCGGCCUGAGAGGGUGGACGGCCACCUUUGGGCUUGGAUUCGGCCCCGGCUCCCACGGGGGGCCGCCGUGGGGAAUUUUGCCCCAUGGGGGCAAGCCUGAUGCCGGGACGCCGCGUGGGGGAUGACGGCCUUCGGGUUGUAAACUCCUUUCGCUAGGGACGAAGCUUUUUGUGACGGUACCUAGAUAAGAAGCACCGGCUAACUACGUG